This 232-nucleotide ribosomal RNA is filed under the name uncultured bacterium. RNAcentral describes it as "partial 16S ribosomal RNA". It matches the Rfam family "Bacterial small subunit ribosomal RNA", at positions 118 to 348 of the family's 1533-position model. The record is from RNAcentral.
UGAGUAACCUGCCCUUAACUCUGGGAUAAGCCUGGGAAACUGGGUCUAAUACCGGAUAUGACUCCUCAUCGCAUGGUGGGGGGGUGGAAAGCUUUAUAGUGGUUUUGGAUGGACUCGCGGCCUAUCAGCUUGUUGGUGAGGUAAUGGCUCACCAAGGCGACGACGGGCAGCCGGCCUGAGAGGGUGACCGGCCACACUGAGACUGAGACACGGCCCAGACUCCUACGGGAGG